This 1436-nucleotide ribosomal RNA is filed under the name uncultured marine bacterium. RNAcentral's name for it is "16S ribosomal RNA". It matches the Rfam family "Bacterial small subunit ribosomal RNA". The record is from RNAcentral.
GAGUUUGAUCCUGGCUCAGAACGAACGCUGGCGGCAGGCCUAAUACAUGCAAGUCGAGCGCUACCUUCGGGUGGAGCGGCGGACGGGUUAGUAACGCGUGGGAAUAUACCCAGUUCUAAGGAAUAGCCACUGGAAACGGUGAGUAAUACCUUAUACGCCCUUCGGGGGAAAGAUUUAUCGGAAUUGGAUUAGCCCGCGUUAGAUUAGAUAGUUGGUGGGGUAAUGGCCUACCAAGUCUACGAUCUAUAGCUGGUUUGAGAGGAUGAUCAGCCACAUUGGGACUGAGACACGGCCCAAACUCCUACGGGAGGCAGCAGUGGGGAAUCUUGCACAAUGGAGGAAACUCUGAUGCAGCGAUGCCGCGUGAGUGAAGAAGGCCCUUGGGUUGUAAAGCUCUUUCGUCGGGGAAGAAAAUGACUGUACCCGAAUAAGAAGGUCCGGCUAACUUCGUGCCAGCAGCCGCGGUAAUACGAAGGGACCUAGCGUAGUUCGGAAUUACUGGGCUUAAAGAGUUCGUAGGUGGUUGAAAAAGUUGGUGGUGAAAUCCCAGGGCUCAACCCUGGAACUGCCUUUAAUACUGCUAGUCUUGAGUUCGAGAGAGGUAAGUGGAAUUCCGAGUGUAGAGGUGAAAUUCGUAGAUAUUAGAAAGAAUACCAAUUGCGAAGGCAGCUUUCUGGAUCAUUACUGACACUGAGGAACGAAAGCAUGGGUAGCGAAGAGGAUUAGAUACCCUCGUAGUCCAUGCCGUAAACGAUGUGUGUUAGACGUUGGAAAUUUAUUUUCAGUGUCGCAGGGAAACCGAUAAACACACCGCCUGGGGAGUACGACCGCAAGGUUAAAACUCAAAUGAAUUGACGGGGACCCGCACAAGUAGUGGAGCAUGUGGUUUAAUUCGAAGAUACGCGCAGAACCUUACCAACACUUGACAUGUUCGUCGCGACUCUAAGAGAUUAGAGUUUUCGGUUCGGCCGGACGAAACACAGGUGCUGCAUGGCUGUCGUCAGCUCGUGUCGUGAGAUGUUGGGUUAAGUCCCGCAACGAGCGCAACCCCUACUUUUAGUUGCCAUCAGGUUAUGCUGAGCACUCUAAUAGAACUGCCUGUGAUAAACAGGAGGAAGGUGGGGAUGACGUCAAGUCCUCAUGGCCCUUACGUGUUGGGCUACACACGUGCUACAAUGGCAUCUACAACAGGAAGCAAAACGGCAACGUUAAGCAAAUCCCGAAAAGAUGCCUCAGUUCGGAUUGCACUCUGCAACUCGAGUGCAUGAAGCUGGAAUUACUAGUAAUCGUGGAUCAGCGUGCCACGGUGAAUGCGCUCCCGGGUCUUGUACACACCGCCCGUCACACCAUGGGAGUUGGUUCUACCUUAAGGCAAGGUUUUAAACCCUUGACCACGGUAUAGUCAGCGACUGGGGUGAAGUCGUAACAAGGUAACC